UACGUAGGGUGCAAGCGUUGUCCGGCAUUAUUGGGCGUACAGAGCUCGUAGGCGGUUUGUCGCGUCUGCUGUGAAAACCCGAGGCUCAACCUCGGGCCUGCAGUGGGUACGGGCAGACUAGAGUGCGGUAGGGGAGAUUGGAAUUCCUGGUGUAGCGGUGGAAUGCGCAGAUAUCAGGAGGAACACCAAUGGCGAAGGCAGAUCUCUGGGCCGUAACUGACGCUGAGGAGCGAAAGCAUGGGGAGCGAACAGG
RNAcentral lists this ribosomal RNA (253 nucleotides) under uncultured bacterium. RNAcentral's name for it is "partial 16S ribosomal RNA". It matches the Rfam family "Bacterial small subunit ribosomal RNA", at positions 524 to 776 of the family's 1533-position model. The record is from RNAcentral.